Molecule: long non-coding RNA, 1700 nt
Organism: Cyanistes caeruleus (blue tit)
Lineage: Eukaryota; Metazoa; Chordata; Aves; Passeriformes; Paridae
Source: RefSeq, a predicted model, not a curated record
AUGAGGGACUGAGGGAGCAGCUGGGCUAGAAAUGUUGUAAAACCACUGUGAUCCUUAAAGAUGGCUAGCAGGGAAAAUUGUGGCAACUUUUCCUAAAAGCCUGUGCUUGAGGACCUGGUUGCUGAAAGUGGUAAUCAGAUAAGACAUGUGGCAGUUUGAUCAAACUCCUAGCAACACAUUUGGGUGUGUUCAUCCCAGGGAUGCCUUUAUAAUUUAUAAUUAAGGUGAAGCUUUGGAUGCUCACAUCCAGCCAACAGACUGGAUGAUAUGCCACUUACCCAUAUUAUUCUUCCACCUGAAACCACAGGACCUAAGGCUUAAUAUCUUACUAGAAAAAACAGGAAAAAUUAAUCCUGGUUUUGCAAGAAGGUAUUGGAAAAGAGUUUCUCAGAAAUUACCAUAUUUGUUCAAGAAUUUAAAAAGGUCUAUGCAGUGUGCUGUACAGGGAGUGAAGAGUGGUCUGAACUAAAAUUCUUGGAAGAGAGCAAGCAGCCCAUGCAUCUCGCAAAGAGCAAGAAAUGAUGAAUGAGGCAGACACAGGAGCAGAUGAAGAUGUUAUGUUCAUAUCAGUCAUAUGUGAAGUGAUUUACUUCUAUUUUUGCUUUCAGCUUUGACUGGCACCGCAAAUUUUAAGGAUGUUCCACAACAGUGGACGGACAGAGUGCAGUGUUUGUUUUCUCUGGUUGACAAAAGUCUAAUAAUAGUAGUAACCUCAGGGUCAGAGGGAGUUAUCAAAUCUGAUCAUGAUAACUGCUUAAAGUAAAAGACCUAAGCAAUAGUGUACCAGAGCAGGAAAGAAAGGCAGAAUUAGAAAAUCACACUGUGGCCUCCUAUUUCUGCAUCAUAUAUUCAUGUGAAUCUGAUGCCAUGUAGCACACUCAGCAAGGUAGUGAGAGGCUGUAUCUGAAAUUUUCUAUCUCACCUGGGAGACUGACUUGGUGGUAGGAAGACCAGGCAGGGACAAGGAAAUUUGGUUUUCUGGUCCCUCCUUUGUUGGAAACAUCUGUGACUUCUGGAAACUCCAAUGUAUUUCAACUCAUUCCUACCUCUCCUGCCCAUGAAUGACUUGCUGUAUGUCCCUCACCCAUAUGGAUAUGUUUGAGAAUUAAUGUUAUUAAAGAUUAGAAAGGAUUAGGUUGAUAUUGCAGCUGUACAGAUCUCACAAAACAGGCAGGGCUUUGGAUUAUGGGAAUUCUCAAUGUUCCUUCCAGCUUUUCAUCCACAUGAUUUCAACAUUUGCAAUACUCAUAUUACAUGGUGAUUAAAAUCUGAUAGUAGGUAUUUGAUAGUAUACCUUUAACAUGUAGAGACAUAAAAUGCUAUCUUUUGGGUUCUGUGGGAGAUGUGACUGGAUUUAACUUACUUUUCCAGAUGAAAUAGUAAGUUCAUUUCUUCCAUUUCUUUUGUCUUUCACAACUUGGAUUUGAGGGUGUUUCCUGGGGCACAAAUAACAUAACGACUGAAGUGAGAGGUUCUGGGAUUCUCUUUGUACCUAUUAUAAAAUACAUAGCAAUAGAUGGAAUUUCAGUCACUAUAAGAUAAAAAUAACAGAAGCCUGAAGUCAGGUCUUGAAAAUUACUUACAACAUUUUCAGAUCAAUGUUAUGUUUUGUGAUUGCAUAUUUAUUUAAGUUUUUGAUAACAUCAUCUGAAAGCGUUAUGGCUUGAUAAAAGAGUGGAAUAAAGAUAUAGAGAAUUUCA